This 465-nucleotide ribosomal RNA is filed under the name Candidatus Desantisbacteria bacterium CG_4_10_14_0_8_um_filter_39_17. RNAcentral's name for it is "bacterial SSU rRNA". It matches the Rfam family "Bacterial small subunit ribosomal RNA", at positions 1 to 402 of the family's 1533-position model. Lineage: Bacteria; Candidatus Desantisiibacteriota. The record is from RNAcentral.
UUAGAGAGUUUGAUCCUGGCUCAGGAUUAAUGCUAGCGGCGUGCCUAACACAUGCAAGUCGAACGGUUCCGAUUGCCAUUUGAGAACAGUUGUUUUUUUACAGCUGUUUUAAUUUAGUAAUCGGGAUAGUGGCGAACGGGUGAGUAAUGCGUGGAUAACCUGCCUUCAAGAGGAAGAUAGCUUCGUGAAAACGGGGGUAAUAUUCCAUAAGACCCUCCCCUGCUGUCUUGCGACAGCAAGACGGGGGGGUAAAAGUCUCCCGAUUUAACAUCGUGGGACACUUGAAGAGGGGUUCACGUUCUAUUAGCUAGUUGGUACGGUAAUGGCGUACCAAGGCGAAGAUGGAUAGCCGGCUUGAGAGAGUGUACGGCCACACUGGGAUUGAGAUACGGCCCAGACUCCUACGGGAGGCAGCAGUGAGGAAUUUUCCGCAAUGCCCGAAAGGGUGACGGAGCGACGCCGCGU